This 281-nucleotide unclassified non-coding RNA is filed under the name Hevea brasiliensis (rubber tree). Lineage: Eukaryota; Viridiplantae; Streptophyta; Magnoliopsida; Malpighiales; Euphorbiaceae. The record is from RNAcentral.
GUGAAACAGUCUGCUAAGCUUCAUCCUUCUAUGCCUUCCAGUGGCAGUUUUUUCAGAACUGCUCCAAUAUGUGAAGCACAUCUUGACCUGGUACGAGUUAGAACAGGGCAAGUGUAUAAGUUGCAUAGUCCUUGUGCAAGAUACUUGGCUUCCUUGUCAAGUUAUGAUUCUGCCAACCCAACAAAAGAUUGGGGUGUCCCUGAAUUAUCAAUGAACAUUCAAUAUAUCCCCUUAACAAAAUCUAGUGAGAAAAGUGAACUAAAAUUGGCAGAUGAAGACAC